This 968-nucleotide ribosomal RNA is filed under the name uncultured fungus. RNAcentral describes it as "eukaryotic LSU rRNA". The stretch from base 593 to 968 matches the Rfam family "Eukaryotic large subunit ribosomal RNA", at positions 1 to 369 of the family's 3401-position model. The record is from RNAcentral. Lineage: Eukaryota; Fungi.
GGAAGGAUCAUUACUGAACUGUCAACACGAGUUGUUGCUGGUCCUCAAUGGGGGCAUGUGCACGCUCUGUUUACACAUCCACUCACACCUGUGCACCCUCUGUAGUUCUGUGGCUUGGGGGGCUCUGUCCUCCUGCUGUGGUUCUAUAUCUUUACACACACUCUGUAAUAAAGUCUCAUGGAAUGUAUACCGCGUUUAACGCAAUACAAUACAACUUUCAGCAACGGAUCUCUUGGCUCUCGCAUCGAUGAAGAACGCAGCGAAAUGCGAUAAGUAAUGUGAAUUGCAGAAUUCAGUGAACCAUCGAAUCUUUGAACGCACCUUGCGCCCUUUGGCUAUUCCGAAGGGCAUGCCUGUUUGAGUAUCAUGAACACCUCAACUCUUCAUGGUUUUCCAUGAUGGGCUUGGACUUUGGGGGUCUUGCUGGCCUAUAGUCAGCUCCUCUCAAAUGAAUCAGCUUUCCAGUGUUUGGCAGCAUCACGGGUGUGAUAACUAUCUACGCUUGUGGUUUUCUGCCAGGUAAUCCUCAGUAAUGGGGAUUCGCUGGGGCUCAUAAAUGUCUCUCCUCAGUGGAGACAGCUUUGUGAACGUUUGAUCUCAAAUCAGGUAGGACUACCCGCUGAACUUAAGCAUAUCAAUAAGCGGAGGAAAAGAAACUAACAAGGAUUCCCCUAGUAACUGCGAGUGAAGCGGGAAGAGCUCAAAUUUAAAAUCUGGCGUGCCUCUGGUCGUCCGAAUUGUAGUCUGGAGAAGCGUCUUCCGUGUUGGACCGUGUAUAAGUCUCUUGGAACAGGGCGUCAUAGAGGGUGAGAAUCCCGUCUUUGACACGGACUACCAAUGCUUUGUGAUGCGCUCUCAAAGAGUCGAGUUGUUUGGGAAUGCAGCUCAAAAUGGGUGGUAAAUUCCAUCUAAAGCUAAAUAUAGGCGAGAGACCGAUAGCGAACAAGUACCGUGAGGAAAAGAUGAAA